GAGUUUGAUCUUGGCUCAGGACGAACGCUGGCGGCGUGCCUAAUACAUGCAAGUCGUACGAACAGCGGAAAGUGCUUGCACUUUCCAAGUAAGUGGCGAACGGGUGAGUAACACGUGAAUAACCUACCUCAAAGUCUGGGAUAACCAUUGGAAACAGUGACUAAUACCGGAUAAAACCUAGUAGCACAUGCUACAAGGUUAAAAGCUGCGUUUGCAGCGCUUUAAGAUGGAUUCGCGGUGCAUUAGUUAGUGGUGAGG
Molecule: ribosomal RNA, 258 nt
Filed under: uncultured microorganism
Description: partial 16S ribosomal RNA
Rfam family: Bacterial small subunit ribosomal RNA
Source: RNAcentral